Molecule: ribosomal RNA, 403 nt
Filed under: uncultured bacterium
Lineage: Bacteria
Description: bacterial SSU rRNA
Rfam family: Bacterial small subunit ribosomal RNA
Source: RNAcentral
UGGGGAAUAUUGCACAAUGGGGGAAACCCUGAUGCAGCGACGCCGCGUGAGCGAAGAAGUAUUUCGGUAUGUAAAGCUCUAUCAGCAGGGAAGAUAAUGACGGUACCUGACUAAGAAGCCCCGGCUAACUACGUGCCAGCAGCCGCGGUAAUACGUAGGGGGCAAGCGUUAUCCGGAUUUACUGGGUGUAAAGGGAGCGUAGACGGCAAGGCAAGUCUGAUGUGAAAACCCAGGGCUUAACCCUGGGACUGCAUUGGAAACUGUCUGGCUCGAGUGCCGGAGAGGUAAGCGGAAUUCCUAGUGUAGCGGUGAAAUGCGUAGAUAUUAGGAAGAACACCAGUGGCGAAGGCGGCUUACUGGACGGUAACUGACGUUGAGGCUCGAAAGCGUGGGGAGCAAACAG